This 329-nucleotide ribosomal RNA is filed under the name uncultured eukaryote. Its description in RNAcentral is "partial 18S ribosomal RNA". It matches the Rfam family "Eukaryotic small subunit ribosomal RNA", at positions 1470 to 1796 of the family's 1831-position model. The record is from RNAcentral.
CCCUUAGAUGUUCUGGGCCGCACGCGCGCUACACUGAUGCAUUCAACGAGUCUAAAACCUGCUCUGAUAGGGGUGGGUAAUCUUUUGAAUGUGCAUCGUGAUUGGGAUAGAUGAUUGAAAUUUUUCAUCUUCAACGAGGAAUGCCUAGUAAACGCAAGUCAUCAGCUUGCAUUGAUUACGUCCCUGCCCUUUGUACACACCGCCCGUCGCUCCUACCGAUUGAAUGAUCCGAUGAAUAUCAUGGAUUGAGGAUGCAAGUAGGUUCACCUAUCUUCAUCUUCGAGAAGUGCAGUAAAUCUUAUCAUUUAGAGGAAGGAGAAGUCGUAACA